Arachis ipaensis is the source of this 327-nucleotide non-coding RNA. Lineage: Eukaryota; Viridiplantae; Streptophyta; Magnoliopsida; Fabales; Fabaceae. The record is from RefSeq and is a predicted model, not a curated record.
UGUCUCUUAAGAAAAAUAAAGAAAUAGAUGAAAUAAAAAAACAAAGUGAAGAGAAGGUAACAGCUUUAAAAACUGAAUUAGACGACCAUAAGCAACGGCUGCAAGGAUUGGAAGAUAUUGUGAAACUUAUGUUGCAACAAACUUCUCCUAGUAUAAAUGUUGAUGAAGCGCUUUCUCUCUUGCGAUCUAAGCAAUCGUCAGCAAAUAGUGCACAAGAUCCAAAUUUAGUUCCUCGGCAUUCUCCUCCAUUGACUCAUAUUCCAAAUCAUGAUUAGCUUUCUUAUUGUUGGAUGAAGUUUUCUGAAGACAUAAAGGCAAUUCUUGGCA